AUCCUUAGCUACUCGAUAGUUUCUCUCAGGCGCAAAUCUUCUCGUACUCAACAGCUAAUGGCCAUGGCAGCGAUCAACGGAGCUUCUAUAAUCUCGCCGCCUUCAAAUCCUUCACGGCGGAGAUAAGAAUGCGCUAUGAGAGGAGAAAACUUUGAGCUAACAACUCGGUUAGGUGCUCUCGGACAUUGGAAGGGUCCACCCAAUGUAUUACGGUGUCAAAUGGCAAGUGCUCAACGCAAUAUGGCAGUCCAGCGGAGGAAGGGGGAGAAUCGACUGUGACAAUAGGGUGGAGGCUAUGCUCCGAUAUGCCGACGCCGGACUUUCAACCUUCGACAUGGCCGACCAGUGCUUACAAAAUGGGUGCCACCGUCGGUGAAGAUGACUAUUAGCUAUGUCCGGGAAAAGAUGCAUGGUGAAUCGUCUAUGUUUCCUUAGGAACUUCCUUAAAACUUCAACUGUAUCUAA
Molecule: long non-coding RNA, 465 nt
Organism: Cucurbita moschata (crookneck pumpkin)
Lineage: Eukaryota; Viridiplantae; Streptophyta; Magnoliopsida; Cucurbitales; Cucurbitaceae
Exons: 3
Source: RefSeq, a predicted model, not a curated record